GGGGCUGUAGCUCAGUGGUAGAGCGCUAGCUUCGCAUGUUAGAUGUCUCGAGUUCAAUCCUCGACUGCUCCA
Non-coding RNA from Culicoides brevitarsis, 72 nucleotides. The record is from the annotation of a RefSeq genome assembly. NCBI's taxonomy places the organism in Eukaryota, Metazoa, Arthropoda, Insecta, Diptera, Ceratopogonidae.